AGAACGAACGCUGGCGGCAUGCCUAACACAUGCAAGUCGAACGAGACCUUCGGGUCUAGUGGCGCACGGGUGCGUAACGCGUGGGAAUCUGCCCAAAGGUUCGGAAUAACUCAGGGAAACUUGAGCUAAUACCGGAUGAUGUCGCAAGACCAAAGAUUUAUUGCCUUUGGAUGAGCCCGCGUAGGAUUAGCUUGUUGGUGAGGUAAAGGCUCACCAAGGCUGCGAUCCUUAGCUGGUCUGAGAGGAUGAUCAGCCACACUGGGACUGAGACACGGCCCAGACUCCUACGGGAGGCAGCAGUGGGGAAUAUUGGACAAUGGGCGAAAGCCUGAUCCAGCAAUGCCGCGUGAGUGAUGAAGGCCCUAGGGUUGUAAAGCUCUUUUACCCGGGAAGAUAAUGACUGUACCGGGAGAAUAAGCCCCGGCUAACUCCGUGCCAGCAGCCGC
This 446-nucleotide ribosomal RNA is filed under the name uncultured bacterium. RNAcentral's name for it is "SSU rRNA". It matches the Rfam family "Bacterial small subunit ribosomal RNA", at positions 26 to 518 of the family's 1533-position model. The record is from RNAcentral.